GUUUGCAGCCAUACUUUCUAUCUCAUCUGACCUAGGAAGGCAGUCCGAGUCCAGCCUGGUUAGUACUUGGAUGAGAGACUGCCUGGGAAUAUGGGGUGCUGGAGGCU
RNAcentral lists this ribosomal RNA (107 nucleotides) under Chlorocebus sabaeus (green monkey). The record is from RNAcentral. Lineage: Eukaryota; Metazoa; Chordata; Mammalia; Primates; Cercopithecidae.